GACGAACGCUGGCGGCGUGCUUAACACAUGCAAGUCGAACGGAAAGGCCCUGCUUUUGUGGGGUGCUCGAGUGGCGAACGGGUGAAUAACACGUGAGUAACCUGCCCUUGACUUUGGGAUAACUUCAGGAAACUGGGGCUAAUACCGGAUAGGAGCUCCUGCUGCAUGGUGGGGGUUGGAAAGUUUCGGCGGUUGGGGAUGGACUCGCGGCUUAUCAGCUUGUUGGUGGGGUAGUGGCUUACCAAGGCUUUGACGGGUAGCCGGCCUGAGAGGGUGACCGGCCACAUUGGGACUGAGAUACGGCCCAGACUCCUAUGGGAGGCAGCAGUGGGGAAUAUUGCACAAUGGGCGGAAGCCUGAUGCAGCAACGCCGCGUGCGGGAUGACGGCCUUCGGGUUGUAAACCGCUUUCGCCUGUGACGAAGCGUGAGUGACGGUAAUGGGUAAAGAAGCACCGGCUAACUACGUGCCAGCAGCCGCGGUGAUACGUAGGGUGCGAGCGUUGUCCGGAUUUAUUGGGCGUAAAGGGCUCGUAGGUGGUUGAUCGCGUCGGAAGUGUAAUCUUGGGGCUUAACCCUGAGCGUGCUUUCGAUACGGGUUGACUUGAGGAAGGUAGGGGAGAAUGGAAUUCCUGGUGGAGCGGUGGAAUGCGCAGAUAUCAGGAGGAACACCAGUGGCGAAGGCGGUUCUCUGGGCCUUUCCUGACGCUGAGGAGCGAAAGCGUGGGGAGCGAACAGGCUUAGAUACCCUGGUAGUCCACGCUGUAAACGGUGGGUACUAGGUGUGGGGUCCAUUCCACGGGUUCCGUGCCGUAGCUAACGCUUUAAGUACCCCGCCUGGGGAGUACGGCCGCAAGGCUAAAACUCAAAGGAAUUGACGGGGCCCCGCACAAGCGGCGGAGCAUGCGGAUUAAUUCGAUGCAACGCGUAGAACCUUACCUGGGUUUGACAUGGAUCGGGAGUGCUCAGAGAUGGGUGUGCCUCUUUUGGGGUCGGUUCACAGGUGGUGCAUGCCUGUCGUCAGCUCGUGUCGUGAGAUGUUGGGUUAAGUCCCGCAACGAGCGCAACCCUUGUUCACUGUUGCCAGCACGUUAUGGUGGGGACUCAGUGGAGACCGCCGGGGUCAACUCGGAGGAAGGUGGGGAUGACGUCAGGUCAUCAUGCCCCUUAUGUCCAGGGCUUCACGCAUGCUACAAUGGCUGGUACAGAGAGUGGCGAGCCUGUGAGGGUGAGCGAAUCUCGGAAAGCCGGUCUCAGUUCGGAUUGGGGUCUGCAACUCGACCUCAUGAAGUCGGAGUCGCUAGUAAUCGCAGAUCAGCAACGCUGCGGUGAAUACGUUCCCGGG
This 1343-nucleotide ribosomal RNA is filed under the name uncultured bacterium. Its description in RNAcentral is "16S ribosomal RNA". It matches the Rfam family "Bacterial small subunit ribosomal RNA", at positions 28 to 1378 of the family's 1533-position model. The record is from RNAcentral.